UACUUCCUACGGGGCGCAGCAGUAGGGAAUUUUCGUCAAUGGGCGCAAGCCUGAACGAGCGAUGCCGCGUGAGUGAAGAAGGCCUUCGGGUCGUAAAGCUCUGUUGCGGGGGAAAAAAGGCAGCAUCAGGAAAUGGGUGCUGACUGAUGGUGCCCCGCCAGAAAGUCACGGCUAACUACGUGCCAGCAGCCGCGGUAAUACGUAGGUGGCAAGCGUUAUCCGGAAUGAUUGGGCGUAAAGGGUGCGCAGGCGGUCCUGCAAGUCUGGCGUGAAACGCA
RNAcentral lists this ribosomal RNA (278 nucleotides) under uncultured bacterium. RNAcentral's name for it is "partial 16S ribosomal RNA". It matches the Rfam family "Bacterial small subunit ribosomal RNA", at positions 333 to 603 of the family's 1533-position model. The record is from RNAcentral.